Molecule: ribosomal RNA, 399 nt
Filed under: uncultured bacterium
Lineage: Bacteria
Description: partial 16S ribosomal RNA
Rfam family: Bacterial small subunit ribosomal RNA
Source: RNAcentral
UUUUGGUCCUGGCUCCAAAUGGACCCCUACCGGAUGCCCUUCUCCUUCCAAUUCAACCGGCACCACGGACUUCGGUCUGGUGGCGAGGGGCGAACGGGUGAAUAAUGACUCGAAACCUGCCCAGUACCGGGGGAAAACUACACGAAAGCUUACCUAAUACCCCAUACCCCCUACGGGGGAAAGCAGGGGAUCCCAAGACCUUCCCCUAUUGGAGCGGCCAAUUUCUAAUUACCUAGUUGGGGGGGUAACGGCUCCCCAAGGCAACCAUCCUUAGCUGGUUUGAAAGGACAACCAGCCCCCCUGGGACUGAAACCCGGCCCAAACUCCUACGGGAGGCAGCGGGGGGGAAUUUUGGACAAUGGGGGAAACCCUGAUCCAGCCCUCCCGCGGGUGCGAUGA